Molecule: ribosomal RNA, 490 nt
Filed under: uncultured bacterium
Lineage: Bacteria
Description: partial 16S ribosomal RNA
Rfam family: Bacterial small subunit ribosomal RNA
Source: RNAcentral
AUUGAACGCUGGCGGCAGGCCUAACACAUGCAAGUCGAACGGUAACAGGAAGCAGCUUGCUGCUUCGCUGACGAGUGGCGGACGGGUGAGUAAUGUCUGGGAAGCUGCCUGAUGGAGGGGGAUAACUACUGGAAACGGUAGCUAAUACCGCAUAAUGUCGCAAGACCAAAGAGGGGGACCUUCGGGCCUCUUGCCAUCGGAUGUGCCCAGAUGGGAUUAGCUUGUUGGUGGGGUAACGGCUCACCAAGGCGACGACCCCUAGCUGGUCUGAGAGGAUGACCAGCCACACUGGAACUGAGACACGGUCCAGACUCCUACGGGAGGCAGCAGUGGGGAAUAUUGCACAAUGGGCGCAAGCCUGAUGCAGCCAUGCCGCGUGUAUGAAGAAGGCCUUCGGGUUGUAAAGUACUUUCAGCGGGGAGGAAGGGAGUAAAGUUAAUACCUUUGCUCAUUGACGUUACCCGCAGAAGAAGCACCGGCUAACUCCGUG